RNAcentral lists this ribosomal RNA (429 nucleotides) under uncultured bacterium. RNAcentral describes it as "bacterial SSU rRNA". It matches the Rfam family "Bacterial small subunit ribosomal RNA", at positions 355 to 801 of the family's 1533-position model. The record is from RNAcentral.
UCGGGAAUUUUGGGCAAUGGGGGAAACCCUGACCCAGCAACGCCGCGUGAAGGAUGAAGUAUUUCGGUAUGUAAACUUCGAAAGAAUAGGAAGAAUAAAUGACGGUACUAUUUAUAAGGUCCGGCUAACUACGUGCCAGCAGCCGCGGUAAUACGUAGGGACCAAGCGUUGUUCGGAUUUACUGGGCGUAAAGGGCGCGUAGGCGGCAUGACAAGUCACUUGUGAAAUCUCUGGGCUUAACCCAGAACGGCCAAGUGAUACUGUCGCGCUAGAGUGCAGAAGGGGCAAUCGGAAUUCUUGGUGUAGCGGUGAAAUGCGUAGAUAUCAAGAGGAACACCUGAGGUGAAGACGGGUUGCUGGGCUGACACUGACGCUGAGGCGCGAAAGCCAGGGGAGCAAACGGGAUUAGAUACCCAUGUAGUCCCUGAG